Anastrepha ludens (Mexican fruit fly) is the source of this 471-nucleotide long non-coding RNA. RefSeq lists it as uncharacterized. The transcript is spliced from 3 exons. Lineage: Eukaryota; Metazoa; Arthropoda; Insecta; Diptera; Tephritidae. The record is from RefSeq and is a predicted model, not a curated record.
UGAACAUGCAAUGCGGGAAAAAAUGAUUGGCAUACAUGGUAUUUAUUUGUGAUUGAAAAUAAGGGGAAAAGGAACCGAUAACAAGUUGACAAAAAUGUUUGUGAAUUUUCAAUCAGUUUGGCAACUGCGCCACACACGCGUCAAUCUGUUGAAAUUUCAACCGAUCGUUUUGAUUUGUUUUCCGUUUGUGGCCUCUUUAUGAACGAAAGAAACGCGAAAUGAUAAAAAAAAUUCUUGGAAAAUUUAAAAUGAAUGGUGCUUCAUUGGAAAAAUUCAAAGAAGUACACCACACAACAGCUCAUUCCAACUCUGAUUUUGAAAUCCUGUUGGAAUUGGUGAUCGAUAAUUUUGUCACUAUAAUGGUCAAUGGAAAUUUGCGUGUAUCAGACCCUGCAUAUUAUUUACCAUAUCAACUUUUUAUGGAACAUAUGGACCAAAUGAACACAAAAAAAUAAUUUAGUUUUGUUUUGA